This 432-nucleotide ribosomal RNA is filed under the name uncultured bacterium. Its description in RNAcentral is "partial 16S ribosomal RNA". It matches the Rfam family "Bacterial small subunit ribosomal RNA", at positions 29 to 506 of the family's 1533-position model. The record is from RNAcentral.
AACGAACGCUGGCGGCAUGCCUAACACAUGCAAGUCGAACGAGACCUUCGGGUCUAGUGGCGCACGGGUGCGUAACGCGUGGGAACCUGCCCUUAGGUUCGGAAUAACUCCCCGAAAGGGGUGCUAAUACCGGAUAAUGUCUUCGGACCAAAGAUUUAUCGCCUUUGGAUGGGCCCGCGUUGGAUUAGCUAGUUGGUAGGGUAAAAGCCUACCAAGGCGACGAUCCAUAGCUGGUCUGAGAGGAUGAUCAGCCACACUGGGACUGAGACACGGCCCAGACUCCUACGGGAGGCAGCAGUGGGGAAUAUGGGACAAUGGGCGAAAGCCUGAUCCAGCAAGGCCGCGUGAGUGAUGAAGGCCUUAGGGUGGUAAAGCUCUUUUACCCGGGAUGAUAAUGACAGGACCGGGAGAAUAAGCUCCGGCUAACUCCGU